Molecule: long non-coding RNA, 720 nt
Filed under: Gallus gallus (chicken)
Lineage: Eukaryota; Metazoa; Chordata; Aves; Galliformes; Phasianidae
Source: RNAcentral
CACAGAUGAUGUUUCAUUUCCACUGUCCCAGGUGAGCUCCAGGAUAAUAAAACUAGUCUAGUGCACAGUUAAAUAUCAAUGGACACCAGAUACUGUCCUUCACAGACGAGAGAAUCGUGAGAAAGCUCCCAGUGAUAAAGACUGGAAUAAUUACAGCACGGUAACACAGCGAGUGACAAUCCACCCACAUCCCAAACCUGAUGAUUCCCCAUGACUCACUCAAGAUCCACGAGAGCCUCCAAGUUCUCGAUCUUCCGAAUCUGAUUGUCAUAGAGAUCCAGCUCCCGCAAGGUCUGCAAUUGCUCCAGGUUCUCAAUGCGCUUCACCAAGUUCUGACGCAGACACAGAGUCUUCACUUUCUUGAGCACCUCAAACCCUUCAAUCUUUCCAAUUCGGAAAUGAUUCAGGUCAACAUCCUCAGCUUCUGGGUCCAGGCUAAUUGUUUCCAUGUCCACUGGUGUCUCUGCUUCUCCAUUCUGCUCAUCUCUCAGGCUCUGCUGGCUGAGGUCUGUUACUAAGCGCACCGCUUGCUUCUUCCCUUCAUCUUCCGACUCCUCCGAUUCGAUCCGCUUAUCGACCCUUGUUUCUACUUUGAUUUUGGAUGCACUUUUUCCUCCCAUCACAUCUUCCUAAAACCAACAAUCUGGGAAGAAGACCUCCAUCAUCUCCGUGCGCCCCUCUCCGCUCCCCGCCGCCAUAUUGCUUCUCCUCCCACCCCCC